GCGCCGGGUCGCAGAGGCGAUUAUCGAUCGGCCACAACUGGUGGUCGAGAAGUCCAUCAGCGAAGUCGCGCGGGCGUGCGACACCUCUGAGGCGUC
This 96-nucleotide transfer RNA is filed under the name Rugosimonospora africana. Its description in RNAcentral is "tRNA-Ser". Lineage: Bacteria; Bacillati; Actinomycetota; Actinomycetes; Micromonosporales; Micromonosporaceae. The record is from RNAcentral.